Molecule: small nuclear RNA, 107 nt
Filed under: Ochotona princeps (American pika)
Lineage: Eukaryota; Metazoa; Chordata; Mammalia; Lagomorpha; Ochotonidae
Source: RNAcentral
CUGCUCACUUCGGCAGCACAUAUACUAAAAUUGGAACGAUACAGAGAAGAUUAGCGUGGCCCCUGUGCAAGGAUGACAUGUAAAUUCAUGAAGCGUUCCAUAUUAAA